Molecule: small nucleolar RNA, 108 nt
Filed under: Cebus imitator (Panamanian white-faced capuchin)
Lineage: Eukaryota; Metazoa; Chordata; Mammalia; Primates; Cebidae
Source: RNAcentral
GGGCUCCCUUUUCCCUUUAACCACGGCUGGAGGCCAAGAUCAGCCCUCAAGGAUCAUCGUCAGGACCACCAUGAGCUGGACAGCCUUGUUUUUCUACCUCAGAUGUAA